CUCUCAUAAAAUAAGUAAGCUUUCAUUAGGAAAAGCCGAGGUAAGUUUUCUUUAGGAAAACCGAGGUAAGUUUUCUUUAGGAAAACCGAGGUAAGUUUUCUCUAGGAAAACCGAGUGUAGGCUCGUCUUGAUAAAGAGGGCUGAGGAAAUAAAAUAGUUUCGUCUUAAAGAUAAAAAUGGGAGCGACAAAAAGUAAGAAUCUAGAUUACAUACCAAACGGUUCGGUUGCAGAAAAAAUGAAACGUUUAUACGGAGUUUCCUGUCUAAGUUUCGUUUCUCAGUGGCAUUACAAAUUUGGUUUUCCUAAAAAUGGAUCUUUACAAACCGAAGACAUUCAAAAACUCGAAGAACAAUUAUUGCAGCAAAAGCAGAGCAUGAUUCAGAUGAAGAAUAUACCUCAAAAGGUUUACUUAACGAUGCA
Molecule: long non-coding RNA, 421 nt
Organism: Nematolebias whitei (Rio pearlfish)
Lineage: Eukaryota; Metazoa; Chordata; Actinopteri; Cyprinodontiformes; Rivulidae
Exons: 2
Source: RefSeq, a predicted model, not a curated record